Molecule: long non-coding RNA, 1548 nt
Filed under: Salmo salar (Atlantic salmon)
Lineage: Eukaryota; Metazoa; Chordata; Actinopteri; Salmoniformes; Salmonidae
Description: lncRNA (ENSSSAG00000106334.1)
Source: RNAcentral
ACCACUCUGACAACAACAGACCACUCUGACGACAAAAGACCACUCUGACAACAACAGACCACUCUGACAACAACAGACCACUCUGACGACAAAAGACCACUCUGACAACAACAGACACACAACAAACCCUCGCCCUUGAGACUGAUGGCCUUUGGCAUUUCAUAACGAUGAGUGAAAAUUUGACAUUGCUAUGUAUGCAGUACUUAAAGAAAUAGUUUCACAAAUGCUGGUACGUCAUGUUCUGACUGUAUAUGUGUUUUAAUGAACUAGAUAUGUAUCACUGUUUAUAAUGUAGAAGAGUUGUUGUUUUAUUAAGUCUUAUUGAAGGAAGCAAACAGAUGGAAAGUACUCAGCAGACAGCCAGACAGACGCUAGUGGGGAUUCACUACCAGCUAUUCUGUUGAUUAACGCCUCGGUCACACCGACGGUGACAUUGCAUUGUGGUACACCAGAAGUACAUUCAUUUCCAAUGGAACGCUGCGUUUGUCUUGCAGCAUUGCGUUACAGAGGCAGUUGCAGUGCGUUCUGUGUGGUGCAUAUGUUGGAUUUAUAGAACUUAAUCAAACUUAUGAGUCAAACUGUGUGUGUAGACGGCUUGACAGAAACGGUAGCAGAAAGGUGAAUGUUAAACUUUUGUUUCACACAUAUCCAGAUGAUGCUGCGUAACAUUUUGCACAAUGACGCUGUCGGUGUGACCGAGGCGUCAGAAUCAGCGACAUUUCCCUGUCUCUCUGGCUUUUCUUAUCGUUACCAGUACAAUGUGUCUCUCUGUACAGAGUAUUAAACAGGAUAUUAAAACGCUCUUUGAUUUUUAGCACCACAGCUACAUCUGACAUGAUAUUACUUCAGCUUUUCCCCCACUGCCCUAAUAUGGAAAUGAUUUUUACUCAAACAACAAUUACACUGUUACAAGCGAGCAAGGCAAAGCACUCUCUCUGGAUAACAGAGUCUGUUAGAUGACAAAAUGUGAGCGUAUCAGUUGAAAACAACAACAUAGGGGCUUUGUUUCUAAAUGUCUCUGUUUCAAACUGGUAGGCCUAAGCUAUGUACUGAUGCUGUCAGCCUUUACAGUUAGAGCUUAAAGCUACUGCUAGAUACAGACAAAGUCUUAUCAUUAACCACAAACAGACCCCCACACACACACACUGAGAUAGAUAGAGUCACACAGGAAGAACUGAUACUGGUUGAAUUAGGGAACAACAAACCAAUGAGGAGGCAAUGCUAAUGAAGAAUGGUUGCCUCGACACCUCAGAGAACACAAUAUGGCCGCCUCCCAAAUGGCACAUACUGAUGGUCGAAGCUAAACAGUUUUUAAAGUACUCUCUAUCUUGGAAAUUCAGAUGGUGGUUCAUUUACAAUCAAGUAGAGACUACAUUUCCCCAUUGUCAUCCUCGCUCACUAUCAUUUUAUUUUUUAAAUGUAGUCGUCCAUGAAUAGCUGGCAGACAGAUAACAGCUCACAGUGAAUGGCUGCGUUUGGCUCCCCGGAUCCAGAAGGAGAGGACAGCAGAGAGGAUCACCUCCAUAACCAACACGCAGAGCAUCAGCA